GGAAGGAUCAUUACAGAAUAAACCUGAUGGAUUGCUGCUGGCUUUCUUGAAGCAAUGUGCACAUCUGUCAUUUUUAUAUUUCCACCUGUGCACCUAUGUAGACUUGGAUGUUUUUUUCCAUAAGCGCCCAUUCAUUUGAGCACUUUUGGGCUUUGAAGAUUGCUAUUUUUAUAGCUUUCCUCACAUUUCCAAGUCUAUGUUCCACAUUUUUAAACCCCAAAGAAUAUAUCAGAAUGAAAAUCUGGCUUUUAUAGCCAAUAAAACAUAUACAACUUUCAGCAACGGAUCUCUUGGCUCUCGCAUCGAUGAAGAACGCAGCGAAAUGCGAUAAGUAAUGUGAAUUGCAGAAUUCAGUGAAUCAUCGAAUCUUUGAACGCACCUUGCGCUCCUUGGUAUUCCGAGGAGCAUGCCUGUUUGAGUGUCAUUAUAUUAUCAACCUCUCCUUGAUUUUUCUAAUCUUAGAGAAUGUUGGAUUUGGCGGUUUGCAUGUGCUUCUUGUACUUGCUCCUCUUAAAUGUAUUAGCUGGAAUGUCUCCUCAGACUGCCCCAUGGUGUGAUAAUUAUCUGCGCCAUAGUACAGACUGACUUGUGUUGGGACUCUGCUUCUAAGUGUCCUUUGGACAAAGACACCUAGUGUGUUUUUAUGACAACUUGACCUCAAAUCAGGUAGGACUACCCGCUGAACUUAAGCAUAUCAAUAAGCGGAGGAAAAGAAACUAACAAGGAUUCCCCUAGUAACUGCGAGUGAAGCGGGAAAAGCUCAAAUUUAAAAUCUGGCAGACAUUUUGGAUGCCCGAGUUGUAAUCUAGAGAAGUGUUAUCCGUGUUGGACCAUGUAAAAGUCUUCUGGAAUGGAGCAUCAUAGAGGGUGAGAAUCCCGUCUUUGACAUGGACUACCAAUGCAUUGUGAUGCGCUCUCAAAGAGUCGAGUUGUUUGGGAAUGCAGCUCAAAAUGGGUGGUAAAUUCCAUCUAAAGCUAAAUAUUGGCGAGAGACCGAUAGCGAACAAGUACCGUGAGGGAAAGAUGAAAAGAACUUUGGAAAGAGAGUUAAAAAGUACGUGAAAUUGCUGAAAGGGAAACGCUUGAAGUCAGUCACGUUAGCCAGAAAUCAACCUUGCUUUUGCUGGGCGUACUUUCUGGUUGAUGGGUCAGCAUCAAUUUUGACCGUUGGAAAAAGUUCAGAGGAAUGUGGCAUCUUCGGAUGUGUUAUAGCCUCUGUCCGUAUACAACGGUUGGGAUUGAGGAACUCAGCACGCCGCAAGGCCGGGUCUCGACCACGUUCGUGCUUAGGAUGCUGGCAUAAUGGCUUUAAUCGACCCGUCUUGAAACACGGACCAAGGAGUCUAACAUACCUGCAAGUAUUUGGGUGGAAAACCCAAGUGCGCAAUGAAAGUGAAAGUUGAGAUCCCUGUCGUGGGGAGCAUUGACGCCCGGACCAAACCUUUUGUGACGGAUCCGCGGUAGAGCAUGUAUGUUGGGACCCGAAAGAUGGUGAACUAUGCCUGAAUAGGGUGAAGCCAGAGGAAACUCUGGUGGAGGCUCGUAGCGAUUCUGACGUGCAAAUCGAUCGUCAAAUUUGGGUAUAGGGGCGAAAGACUAAUCGAACCAUCUAGUAGCUGGUUCCUGC
This 1627-nucleotide unclassified non-coding RNA is filed under the name uncultured fungus. Its description in RNAcentral is "sequence contains 18S rRNA gene, ITS1, 5.8S rRNA gene, ITS2, 28S rRNA gene". The stretch from base 653 to 1627 matches the Rfam family "Eukaryotic large subunit ribosomal RNA", at positions 1 to 961 of the family's 3401-position model. Lineage: Eukaryota; Fungi. The record is from RNAcentral.